GUACUUGCUUAAACAGCACAUAUUCUAAAAAUUGGAAUGAUACAGAGAAGAUUAGCAUGGCCCCUGUGCCAGAAUGACACACAAAUUCAUGAAGUGUUCUAUAUUUUU
This 108-nucleotide small nuclear RNA is filed under the name Jaculus jaculus (lesser Egyptian jerboa). The record is from RNAcentral. Lineage: Eukaryota; Metazoa; Chordata; Mammalia; Rodentia; Dipodidae.